UGAUGCCCAGCUUGCUGGGUGGAUUAGUGGCGAACGGGUGAGUAAUACGUGAGUAACCUGCCCUUGACUCUGGGAUAAGCCUGGGAAACCGGGUCUAAUACUGGAUACUACUUCCUGCCGCAUGGUGGGUGGUGGAAAGGGUUUUACUGGUUUUGGAUGGGCUCACGGCCUAUCAGCUUGUUGGUGGGGUAAUGGCUCACCAAGGCGACGACGGGUAGCCGGCCUGAGAGGGUGACCGGCCACACUGGGACUGAGACACGGCCCAGACUCCUACGGGAGGCAGCAGUGGGGAAUAUUGCACAAUGGGCGGAAGCCUGAUGCAGCGACGCCGCGUGAGGGAUGACGGCCUUCGGGUUGUAAACCUCUUUCAGUAGGGAAGAAGCGCAAGUGACGGUACCUGCAGAAGAAGCGCCGGCUAACUACGUGCCAGCAGCCGCGGUAAUACGUAGGGCGCAAGCGUUGUCCGGAAUUAUUGGGCGUAAAGAGCUCGUAGGCGGUUUGUCGCGUCUGCUGUGAAAGCCCGGGGCUCAACCCCGGGUCUGCAGUGGGUACGGGCAGACUAGAGUGCAGUAGGGGAGACUGGAAUUCCUGGUGUAGCGGUGAAAUGCGCAGAUAUCAGGAGGAACACCGAUGGCGAAGGCAGGUCUCUGGGCUGUUACUGACGCUGAGGAGCGAAAGCAUGGGGAGCGAACAGGAUUAGAUACCCUGGUAGUCCAUGCCGUAAACGUUGGGCACUAGGUGUGGGGGACAUUCCACGUUUUCCGCGCCGUAGCUAACGCAUUA
This 783-nucleotide ribosomal RNA is filed under the name Kocuria rosea. Its description in RNAcentral is "bacterial SSU rRNA". It matches the Rfam family "Bacterial small subunit ribosomal RNA", at positions 70 to 862 of the family's 1533-position model. Lineage: Bacteria; Bacillati; Actinomycetota; Actinomycetes; Micrococcales; Micrococcaceae. The record is from RNAcentral.